GAUGAACGCUGGCGGCGUGCUUAACACAUGCAAGUCGAGCGAAGCAGUUAAGUUGAUUUCUUCGGAUUGAUUCUUGACUGACUGAGCGGCGGACGGGUGAGUAACGCGUGGGUGACCUGCCCCAUACCGGGGGAUAACAGCUGGAAACGGCUGCUAAUACCGCAUAAGCGCACAGAGCUGCAUGGCUCGGUGUGAAAAACUCCGGUGGUAUGGGAUGGGCCCGCGUCUGAUUAGGCAGUUGGCGGGGUAACGGCCCACCAAACCGACGAUCAGUAGCCGGCCUGAGAGGGCGACCGGCCACAUUGGGACUGAUACACGGCCCAAACUCCUACGGGAGGCAGCAGUGGGGAAUAUUGCACAAUGGGGGAAACCCUGAUGCAGCGACGCCGCGUGAGCGAAGAAGUAUUUCGGUAUGUAAAGCUCUAUCAGCAGGGAAGAUAAUGACGGUACCUGACAAAGAAGCCCCGGCUAACUACGUGCCAGCAGCCGCCGUAA
This 495-nucleotide ribosomal RNA is filed under the name uncultured bacterium. RNAcentral describes it as "partial 16S ribosomal RNA". It matches the Rfam family "Bacterial small subunit ribosomal RNA", at positions 28 to 523 of the family's 1533-position model. The record is from RNAcentral.